RNAcentral lists this ribosomal RNA (405 nucleotides) under uncultured prokaryote. Its description in RNAcentral is "bacterial SSU rRNA". It matches the Rfam family "Bacterial small subunit ribosomal RNA", at positions 355 to 774 of the family's 1533-position model. The record is from RNAcentral.
UGGGGAAUAUUGGGCAAUGGGCGCAAGCCUGACCCAGCAACGCCGCGUGAGGGAAGAAGGUCUUCGGAUUGUAAACCUCUGUCCUUGGUGACGAAACAAAUGACGGUAGCCAAGGAGGAAGCCCCGGCUAACUACGUGCCAGCAGCCGCGGUACUACGUAGGGGGCGAGCGUUGUACGGAAUUACUGGGCGUAAAGGGUGCGUAGGUGGCCUUUUAAGUUGGAUGUGAAAUCCCCGGGCUUAACUUGGGGGGUGCAUCUAAUACUGGGAGGCUAGAGUGCAGGAGAGGGAAGCGGAAUUCCUAGUGUAGCGGUGAAAUGCGUAGAUAUUAGGAGGAACACCAGUGGCGAAGGCGGCUUUCUGGACUGUAACUGACACUGAGGCACGAAAGCGUGGGGAGCAAACA